This 1363-nucleotide ribosomal RNA is filed under the name marine metagenome. RNAcentral describes it as "bacterial LSU rRNA". It matches the Rfam family "Bacterial large subunit ribosomal RNA", at positions 655 to 2009 of the family's 2925-position model. The record is from RNAcentral.
ACGGGCAACAGCCCCAGGGAAACCGAGUCUUAAUAGGGCGAAUUAUAGUCGUAGGUGGUAGACGCGAAACUGCGUGAUCUACCCAUGGACAGGUUGAAGCGCGGGUUAAACCGCGUGGAGGACCGAACCCACUUAGGUUGAAAACUGAGGGGAUGAUCUGUGGGGAGGAGUGAAAGUCUAAUCAAACGCAGAGAUAGCUCGUUCUCUCCGAAAUAUCUUUAGGGAUAGCCUUGAGCCACUACGCAUCGGGGGUAGAGAGACUGAAUCGGAUGGGGGCCCUUUCCGGGGUACCCCACUGAACCAAACUCCGAAUACCGAUGCGAUUAUCUCAGGAGUCAGUCCGUGGGGGAUAAGCCUCGCGGUCGAGAGGGAAACAACCCAGACCAUCUGCUAAGGUCCCUAAGAAAUGCUCAGUCACUAAGGAAGUUGAGUUACUGUGACAGCCAGGAUGUUGGCUUAGAAGCAGCCACCAUUUAAAAAGUGCGUAACAGCUUACUGGUCGAUGUAACUCUGCGCCGAUAAUGAACGGGAGUAAGCAUUUCACCGAAGCAGUGGAUUGUAGACGUCUGCGGACGUCUACAGUGGUAGGAGAGCGCUGUACACCAGAUACAAGCCGUACCGAAAGGAGCGGUGUCGGGGUGUACAGGUGAUUAUGCCGGAAUGAGUAACGAUAAAACAGGUGAGAAUCCUGUUCGCCGAAAGCCUAAGGUUUCCUGGGGAAGGCAAUUCCGCCCAGGGUUAGCCGGUUCCUAAGUCAAGGCCGAAAGGCGUAGACGAUGGAUAGCAGGUCAACAUUCCUGCGCCACAAGUGUGGACCGAUGGAGGGACGGCAUCCAGAUGGUGUAAAGCACGAUUAGAUUGUGCAUCGAAAGCUUUGAGGUGAGAGAUAGGAAAAUCCGUCUCUCGUAAGCCAAGAAGCCGAAGGGGGGAUUAUUCCCGAAUUCAUCUGAAGGAUGUCCAAGAAAAGCUUCUAAGGGUUGAUGCACUUGUGACCGUACUAAAACUGACACAGGUAGGCGAGACGAGUAGUCUAAGGCGCUCGGGAGAACGGUGGUUAAGGAACUCUGCAAAAUGGCCCCGUAAGUUCGCGAUAAGGGGUGCCUCUGGGGGUUCACGCUUCUGGAGGCCACAGAAAAUCGGCUUCUGCGACUGUUUAUCAAAAACACAGGACUCUGCUAACUCGCAAGAGGAUGUAUAGAGUCUGACGCCUGCCCGGUGCCGGUAGGUUAAGGAAGGCGGUUAGCACUUCGGUGUGAAGCUGACGACCGAAGCCCCGGUAAACGGCGGCCGUAACUAUGACGGUCCUAAGGUAGCGAAGUUCCUUGUCGGGUAAGUUCCGACCUGCAUGAAAGGCGUAACGACA